Long non-coding RNA from Etheostoma cragini (Arkansas darter), 223 nucleotides. RefSeq lists it as uncharacterized. The record is from RefSeq and is a predicted model, not a curated record. The transcript is spliced from 3 exons. Lineage: Eukaryota; Metazoa; Chordata; Actinopteri; Perciformes; Percidae.
ACUUUAUUUAAAGGUGCAGCAGGUAAGCUUUAUAAAACUAACUUUCUGCCAUAUUUGUUGAAACUGCCCCUAUGUUUCAGUAGAACUACAUCAAGCAGGUAAUAAAAAAAAAAAAUCAAACUUCUCUGGCACCACCUACAGACUGUACUGCAAUUUGCAAAAAUCCACCGCUCCGUGUUCAGAUGCUAGAAUCAGGGCCAGGUGGGGAGUGUGUUUAACUGCA